This 20-nucleotide non-coding RNA is filed under the name Arabidopsis thaliana (thale cress). The record is from RNAcentral. Lineage: Eukaryota; Viridiplantae; Streptophyta; Magnoliopsida; Brassicales; Brassicaceae.
UAUCAGAUGAACACUGCUUG